Long non-coding RNA from Magallana angulata, 619 nucleotides. RefSeq lists it as uncharacterized. The transcript is spliced from 6 exons. The record is from RefSeq and is a predicted model, not a curated record. Lineage: Eukaryota; Metazoa; Mollusca; Bivalvia; Ostreida; Ostreidae.
CUCCAGUCAGCCAGCUGGGGUGAUUCUUUAUAAGCACCCUGGUCAACCAGUGGAUAUAAUCUGAAUAUAAAUCCUUCUGCACUCCCUAAAUGUGACCUACACAAUAUCAUAUGUAGUGUCUUCCAUUUGAGUGGUGGGACUGCUGACUUAAGAGUGGAACCCUGUGUUUUCAUCUAUUUGGUGAUAAAGUUACCUUUCUAUACACCUUACUAGGCAGAACAAAACAAUCAGCGCAGUAUGGAGAAAUUGAAAUACCCACAUGAGCCAGACCCUGUUCCCUCAUCCAUUGCUUUGAUAGACCCACUUAUCUGAUGAUGAAUGAAAAAAAUGUGUCCUAGUGUCUGUAAUAAACUUUCCAGAUUUCAUCAACUCUUCAUUGAUGGAACUCUUGAAGACAGAAUACAGAAGAUGGCCAUGACCAUCUAGUCCACCAAGAAACCCCCCAGAAUUUCCGGUUGUUUGUAGAUAUACUGCAGAAGACCUCGGAUGUGAAUGAAAUUUAGUUUUGUAAGAGUGGAGCAUGGAGUACAUCCUCUGAAAAUCUCGAAGGAAGUUAACAUUACUCCUCCUUAUCUGCCUCAGGACCUUCUCCAGAGAAGAUGAAAAUGAAAAAAUAGAA